Molecule: long non-coding RNA, 775 nt
Filed under: Coturnix japonica (Japanese quail)
Lineage: Eukaryota; Metazoa; Chordata; Aves; Galliformes; Phasianidae
Description: lncRNA (ENSCJPG00005012722.1)
Source: RNAcentral
UUUUAUUUCUCACUUAAACACACACACACACAAAAGAAAAACAGCAACAACAAAAACCAUGAAGGUAAAGUAAUAUCACUUGGCUUUUUGGAAUCUGCAGACUCAAAAUAUUCUUUGCUAUAAUUGCAGAUUAAAUUUUAUGAAAUUUGGUCCAUCCAGAGACACAACUGUAUUUCAUUCAACUUCUGCAUGAUUUUAGGUGGAGUCAAUGAGAUUGAAACUGCAGUCACCUUACCACAUCUGACCUUCCGGAUGACAACUGCCCGGUGAUUUCUAUUGCUACAUUAUAUCCCAACAUUACAUUGCACUUGCUGUUGGAAAACUUCAGGAAAUUAACAGUUUUUGUCUUCAGAAGAGACGGAGGCUGAAAGAUUUGUGAAAUAGUUUUGAAUUUGUCCAUCAGCUAUAAAUGACAGCUGCAUUUCAGAAUUUUCAAGCACCUUUAUGGAAACCCAGUCUACCUUCAAGAUGACUGGAUCCUGUUAACUGGGAGAGCAUAAGAGACUCACACCAGAAGAACAAGAAGAAGAAGAACACAAAAGGAAACCCAUAAAUAGUACCAGUAUACUUGGAAAAAAUCUCCACCUACAAUUACAAAAACAUUUCGGCAACCCAUUCUGUCUUCAGAAAGGUGCUGUCUCCUGUGGAAGCUUCUCCCUGAUGACCAGUUAUACUCCAAGGUCCAAGUCUGCAUGUUGCAUAAUGUGUUUCUAGUUCUUUGGAGAGGUAAUUCUGAUAAAUAUAACUCAAACACUAGUUGAUGCAGGUACCUUCU